ACUACGGGAGGCAGCAGUGGGGAAUAUUGGGCAAUGGAGGCAACUCUGACCCAGCAACGCCGCGUGAAUGAUGAAGGUCUUCGGAUUGUAAAGUUCUGUGAUGGGGGAUGAACACAAUGACGGUACCCCAAUAGCAAGCCACGGCUAACUACGUGCCAGCAGCCGCGGUAAUACGUAGGUGGCAAGCGUUAUCCGGAAUGACUGGGCGUAAAGGGUGCGUAGGGUGUUUAGUAAGUUGGCGGUGUAAUUCCGGGGCUCCACCUCGGCGCUACCGCCAAAACUAGUAUACUAGAGUGCAGGAGGGGUAAGUGGAAUUCCUAGUGGAGCGGUGGAAUGCGUAGAUAUUAGGAGGAACAUCAGGGGCGAAGGCGACUUACUGGACUGUAACUGACACUGAGGCACGAAAGCGUGGGGAGCAAACAGGAUUAGAGACCCUGGUAGUC
RNAcentral lists this ribosomal RNA (443 nucleotides) under uncultured bacterium. RNAcentral describes it as "partial 16S ribosomal RNA". It matches the Rfam family "Bacterial small subunit ribosomal RNA", at positions 338 to 795 of the family's 1533-position model. The record is from RNAcentral.